UAAAAAAAAAAAAGAGAAUAAAUUCAAGAUCAAAACUGGGUCAAAAAUUCUCCAAAUAGAAAAAGAGCAGACAAGGUAAGAAAUUCAAAGAAAAAAUUGAAAAAGAAAAAAACACCAGAGCAGAACAGCAAUGGCCCGAUACUAAAAACAGGGUCAGAAUGUUAAAAAAAUAAAAUAGAGCAUGGCUGAGAACAAAGCAGUAGCUAGGGUAGAGGAGAGAAAACAAAAGAAAUUCAAACAAGGCAAAGAUGACACCUAUUAAAAAAUGGAAAGAUCUGCAGUGGAUGACCUAUGAGUGGCAUUCUAACAAGAUUUUUCUGGUGAUGGAGAUGAAACUUCCGACAACUAUCAAGGGCAUCGGUAUUGGAUUCUGAUAGAUCAUGACAUUUCGAGUCUGUUGGUACUUGGUGGUGGCCUCUAGGUAUGAGAAAGCUCACAAGAGGUGAAGGUUUAUGAGGCUUGAAUUUUUUGGGCCUGGUGCCUCUGUUAGUAGGCAUGUGCCUCAAUAUGUUUAGAUAGAGUGUAUAGAGAAUUUUUUUUUUUUAAAGUAAGGUAAGGUAAAAUAAUAGAAGAUAAGGUAUUAAAAUCUCCUCAAUCCACCAAUUU
RNAcentral lists this unclassified non-coding RNA (606 nucleotides) under Hevea brasiliensis (rubber tree). Lineage: Eukaryota; Viridiplantae; Streptophyta; Magnoliopsida; Malpighiales; Euphorbiaceae. The record is from RNAcentral.